Salmo salar (Atlantic salmon) is the source of this 3405-nucleotide non-coding RNA. The record is from RefSeq and is a predicted model, not a curated record. NCBI's taxonomy places the organism in Eukaryota, Metazoa, Chordata, Actinopteri, Salmoniformes, Salmonidae.
GGUGGAUCCAGUUGAGAAUGGGCGUCAACAGUUAGCUAACGUCCAGCCACUCAUUCAUAGAAUAUCAGCUUGCAAAUAACUAUUUAUUUUUAUUUUUGUAUCAACAAUAAUUCUAACCAAGUUUAGUCAUGGUGUGGUGCUCAGUACCUGGAUGUGCAAACUACAAGCAAGCACAGGCUGCUGUGGUACAAUUUCAUUGGUUACCUGCCGAAGAUAUUCCUCGGAGCCGACAGUGGGUGGGGGCAAUGAUGUGAAUACUCCCGUGCAAAGCACCCCCACAUGUCCAUGUUUGUAGCCAACACUUUCAGUCAGAGGAUUUUGAAACGUACCUGAAGUCUCAACUGAUGUGGUUGCCAGGUCGUUGAACGUUGAAAACUGCUAUUCCAUCUAUUUUCCCCUUCACUUCAAACAGGAAGGUAUCCGACCAGCCAACAUUAACGCAGAAAAAAGAAGUCGAGCAGAGGCCAUCUGGAGGCAUUGCACAGUGCUCUCCUGAAGUACAACUCAAACUGGCAGCAUUUUGGGCACCUGGGCAUGAAGGGAGAGGACACAUCUUGUUAUCCCGGAUUAUAAUGAGAAUGUGGGACGCAAACAAGCCCGGACAGCCAAAGGCACUCCACAUGAAGGCCCCCUAGGGAAGAGAAAACUACAGGAAAGGGAGAGAUGGAAAAGGAGGAGUUAAGUAUACAGGCCCUGGGAGUGUACUUCUGAGGUAUUUCAAAAUACUGGUUUUGAAAUGCUGAGAAAUUGCAUGGAUUAAGGUCAGUGGCUGGAAGCCCUAGCCAGAGCCAGCUUGAGUUUGUCUACAUGUUCUAUAUCUGGAAUGAUGAAGUAGGGCCCACCCAAAUAGCUGGUGAUAGUAGUGUGUUCACAGAUACAUUGUUGUGCUGCACUGUGCACACCUGUACUGCCAAAGUCCCUUUGAUAGCAGUCAUAAAGAUAUACGGUGUUUUGUUUAUAGCACCAGAACUACUCAGAUAGAAUACAAUGGCAUUUUUAUUACAUAGCUUCACUUAUUCUGAAUACCUCACUACCAGUUUUAAAGAGAAGAUUGUCCUGAUUUGAGCCAUAAUGAGAUUAACUCUAUAGUGUACAGUACAUACUAGUACAUAUACAGUACAUACUAGUAUUCGAACUAAGAGCUUACCAUUCAGACCACUUGCUGUCAAUAGUUAUGAGAAAAUGCCUCUCAUCUAUUCUCCUCUCUCUCUCUCCUGUAUCUACCCACAUGAAGAAGAAAAAUAAUACUAUAGUAUACUAUGGUAUUAAUACUAUAAAUCAUAUCAAAUCUAGUCCAAUUUUAUGGGUCACACACAUAUUUAGUAGAUGUUAUUGCGGGUGUAGUGAAAUGCUUGUAUUCCUAGCUCCAACAGUGCAGUAGUAUCUAACAAUUCACAAAAAUACAAACAAAUCUAAAAGUAAAAAAAUGUAAUUAAGAAAUACAUAAAUGUUAGAUUGAGCAAUGUCGGAGUGGCAUUGACUAAAAUACAUGAGAAUUCAGUAUAUACAUAUGAGAUGAGCAAAGCAGCAUGUAAACAGUAUUUAAACAUUAUUAAAGUGGCCAGUGAUUCCAAGUCUAUGUAUUUGGCAUUGCCAGUGAUGAGCUAUGCUGAUAGCAGAGUGUGGGAGAGCUGAGCCGCCCAGAGCGAGAGAUGUUUACCUGACCAGAGGGCAAGACAGGGUGUGGUCAGCAACAGUAUACCACUUCCCUUUUUCUCUCUCUCUCUUUCUCUCUCUCGACCCAUUUAUUCAGAAGUGUGAGUAAAGCUAGACUGAGUACAUUGUUUGACACUGUUCAAAUGGGUCUGAUUCAACUUCACAAUUUGCUGCUACCCAUCUCUACAUUUCUCAGUGGUGAAGUGUAAUACUGUGUAAUUGAGCUGGUUUCCCACGUCUAUAAGGCGCCACUCUGUGUGAUAGUAUCUGUGCGUUAGUGAGAUGAUUCUGUUGAGAUAUGUUGACUCCUGUCUUGAUAACAUCUACCUGUAAUUCAGCAUUGCAAUAAUAUCAUAUACUGAUUUCAAUGGGCACGCCUCACUAAUCUCAGUAGGUCACCUGUGUGCGCGCGCACACACACACACACACACGCAUGCAGACACACAAACACACACACACACACAAACAAGCAAACACACGCACUGUGUACGAGGGACAAAACCAGUUGCUUGGGAGGCAUCCAAGAGCCAGCAUCUCUAUUGUUGAGGAACAGUGUGUGUCUCCACCUGAUGGAUAGGGAUGCAUGCUCAGAUUACAGAUGCAGGUCAUGAAACAACUACAGGCUGGGCAUGUUCACUAUAGAGACACGUGAACACAGCAGACCGAACAUGUUGGUUACAGUGAGCCAAACCUGUCAAUACAAUGUAAAUUACAAUGUCUUAGUGUUAAUUCUAUGCGAUGUGAAAUGCAUUCCAUUACCCAGUAUGCAUGUGUGUGUUCAUGUGUGUUUUCAUGCAUGCGUGUGUGUGUGCAUGUAUGCGUGCGUGCGUGCAUGUGUGCGUGCGUGCGUGCGUGCAUGUAUGCGUGCGUGCAUGUAUGCAUGCGUGUCACGACUUCUGCUGAAGUGGGUGCUUCUCCUUGUUCGGGCGGCGUUCGGCAGUCGUCGUUGCCGGCUUUCUAGCUGCCACCGAUUCUCGUUUGUCGGGAGCUGGCCUGCAGGGACACCACCCUUACCCUCGACCAGCUGGUGGAUUUAUCCAUCCGGCUGGAUAACCUAUUGGCCACCCGCAGACGUUCAGAUCAGGGUCCGUCCAUUCCAUCCCCCAGCACCUCCGAUCCAACACCUAUGGAGCUCGGAGGUGCUGCUUUAAGGGUAACCGGAGGGGGGGCUGUUUCCUGCACUACCUGUGGCCGCAGAGGAUACACUGCUGGUCGGUGCUGGAGAGGUUCCCCAGGAAGUCGAGGCAGCAGGCAGGGCACUGGUGGAUCAUCCCAGGUGAGUAUGCACCCAACUCACCCAGAGCUUCCUGUUGCGCACAUGUAUAUAUCUAUAGAAUUUCCUGAGUUUUCCCCGCAUUCCCAGCAUAAGGCGCUAGUAGAUUCAGGCGCAGCUGGGAACUUUAUUGACCGUUCAUUUGCUCGUAGAUUAGGGAUCCCUAUUGUUCCUGUUGAUGUGCCUUUCCCUGUACAUUCCUUAGAUAGUCGUCCUUUAGGGUCAGGUCUGAUUAGGGAGGUCACAGCUCCCCUUUGUAUGAUAACGCAGGAGGGUCAUGAGGAGAGAAUUAGUCUCUUCCUGAUAGAUUCUCCUGCGUUUCCUGUGGUGUUGGGGUUUCCCUGGUUGGCCCAUCAUAACCCCACUAUUUCGUUGCAACAGAGGGCUCUCAAGGGAUGGUCACGUCAGUGUUCAGGGAGGUGUAUAGGUGUUUCCAUAGGUGCAACUACGGUGCAACUACGGUGGAGAGUCCAAAC